CAGAGACUGCCCUAUCAGAUUGCAGACAAAAAGUAAGAUGCAGUGGUGGGAGCAGAACAGGGAAUAGAAUAUGAAGGUUGAAAUCAGACUCAGGCCCACCUGUCUCCUUCAUCUGGCUUCCUUAUUUCUGUCCCUGCUGCUUCCCCUCUAGUCAUGUCAAGGUUAUGGAGCUACCUCUGAUUCUCCUUGCUCGCUUGGUCGGACAGCCUGGUGCCAGUCCUAUAGAUUAUUUGCCUGAAAUAUUUCUCUAAAUAUUUCCCCCUCUCCAUUCCCAUGGGCACCACUCCAGUUCAACUGUUUAUGACCUGUUACCUUGACUGUUGCAUAGUUUCUGUCCUGGUCACCUGCAUUCACACAGCAACUGCUUCUGAGCAUGUCUUUACCCUUUUUAGAAACGCUGAAUGGCUCCCUAGGGCUCCUUGCAUGAUCCCUCCAGAGUUCUUAGGGAUAGGGCUCAAAACUUAACUCCAUGAUUCUCCCCUUCCCAAAUGUUCUCUUCAAAUUUGGCUGGUGGACCAAAGAUGCCAGAAUGCUCAAAAAUAAAAUAAUAAGCAUAGCUUAGAAAAAUGGAUAAUAUUUGUCAUCAUUGGGUCUAUACAAUGUGCCAGGGAUUAUACUAGUCAUAUCAUGUACACUAUCUCUUUGAACCUACAUAAUGAUUUAAUGCAAUUAAAAUGCCCAUUUGAAUGAUGAGAAAACAGAAAAGAGAAGUUAAUUAAGGUAGGAGGUUAAGUACAAGGAGCUAGCAUAUGAACCCAAAUUGUUGACUUCAAAACACAACAUUUUUUGCUGGGUGUGGUGGUGUACACUUGUAAUCCCAGAGACUCAGGAGGCUGAUGCAGCAGGAUCACAAAUUCAAGGCCAGUCUCAGAAACUUAGUGAUACCCUGUCUCAAAAUAAAAAUAAAAAGGAUGGGGGAUGUGCUCAGUGGUAAAAAGCACCCCAGGUUCAAUUCCCAGUUACCCAAACCAUCCCAAACCAAACCCCAACCAAUCGACAAAUCAAACAAACAAAAACCAAAACCACAAAACAGAAAUAGCACUAUGUUUAAGUAAGGGAUAAAGAAUAUUACAGACAAGAAUUCUAGCUUGGACAAAAGUUUAUGGCAAAAAUUAAUGUUGUGUUUUUUGAAGAUCAUUCAUAAGAUCUACAUGUCAGGAAUAAUUGGAAGUACUGUGGGGUUGAGUAUUAGUUUGUGGGAGCUGUCAUGGCACAGUACCCCCAUUCCCACUGGGUAACUUAAAUAACAAAAAAGAAUUUUCUCAUAGUUCUGAAGACUGGAAAUCCAAUAUCAAGGUGCCAGCAGGUUUCAUGUCUUCUAAGUUGCCCCUCUGAUUGACAUAUACAUGGCCAUCUUCUCCCUGUGUCCUCCCGUGGCCUUUUCUCUGUGCACACAUAUCCCUGAUGGCUCUUCCUUUUCUUUUGACAACAAAAGAUUAGUGCUCAGUCUAAGCCUCAUUUUAACUUAAUUACCUCUUUAAAUGUCCUGUCUCUAA
RNAcentral lists this long non-coding RNA (1496 nucleotides) under Marmota monax (woodchuck). The record is from RNAcentral. Lineage: Eukaryota; Metazoa; Chordata; Mammalia; Rodentia; Sciuridae.